UGUCAUGACCCUAGUCGUGACAGAAUAGCUGUAGUAAUUAACAACUUCUGAGAGGGUAGUAAUGAUAUAAUGUAAUGUAAAAUGAGAGAGGAGAUGAGGACACGUGUGUGCAGAUCCGUAUUUCUAGGUUUCUGUUAGAAGAGAGAAAUGCUAUAAGCAUGAGUGAAUGUAAUAGCUUGAAACCCAAGUUUUAUGAAGAAAGAUCAAUAGGCUCAGUUUCUUGGAAACUUGAGAAAAGUUCCUCAAAAGGUUAUUAAUCUUUCCAGUUUAUUUGUUAAUUUGAUCAUAAAGUAAGGUAAAUCCUUACAAUUGGUAUCAGAUUCACGAUUCUGGCACCGGAUUCAUGACUCUUAAGGAGGUAGUGUGUUUAGCUAAAGAAAACCGAUCUAAGCUCGAUAAGUUUCUGAAGGAGGUUUCUAUGAAGGUAUCGUUUGUUUUUUCUUCAGUUAAGCACUGAAUACUCAUUAAGUUCUGAAGAUCACUUAAUACAUUAAGUCAUUAAGUGAUCCAUUCUACCAAAUUUGAUGUCUGAAUGACUUAACUGAACUUUUAGCUGAUGAAAUAGAUUAAGUACUUAAUGGUUAGUAGAAAACAAACAGUCUGAAGACUGAAUACGGUGGUCCACCCACUUAAGUUCAGUCAUUCAGACUGCUGAAUGAAAAACAAACACCACCUUAGUAAUCGCGUCGAUGAGAACACAACGCAGUUUUCAAAACUCAGUGAUCGUGUUGAUGCGAAUACGAAGUCGAUGGAAGAUCGUUUUUCCAAACUUUUCAGGUUAUUGGGUUCGGAUACUGAUAAAGGCAAAGAUCCUAUGGAUCCUCAGGUUUCUCAUGGUGUUCGAUUUGUCGCGGAUUACAGUACAGUGCCUCCGUCAUCAUCUUCUCAUCCGCCUUUCAUCACUAAUGAUUUUCACGGAGGUUUUCUUUAUCAGCCGCAGUUCGAAUUCCCCAGAUUCGACGGUACAAACCCUCGAGCAUGGCUUCGCAAAUGUCAACGCUUCUUCUCGCUCCAUCUUAUGGAUAAUAAUCAACGCAUCGCAGUUGCUUCGUUGUAUUUAGAAGGCAAGGCUGAUGCGUGGUUUUUGGAUUAUCAAGUUGGUAAGGGUUUUAUUGAUUGGGCGAUUUUCAGUGAAGAUGUUUGUGCUCGAUUUGAAGAUAUUCGUCAUGGUAACUAUGUGGGUAAUUUCAACAAACUUUUUCAAUCUGGUUCCGUGGAAGAGUAUUUUACACAGUUUGAAGAACUCAAGUCCUAUAUGGUAAGCAAGAAUCCUUCCUUAUCUUCUGAAUACUUUGUUCUUAGUUUUUUGAGUGGCCUUAAGAAGGAAAUUAAAUCCUACAUUCAAAUGUUUAAACCCACUACUUUGAAUGAAGCUUUUGAACUUGCUCAAAUGCGAGAAGAGGUGCUUGAUGAUCAAUUACCCAAACCAAAAUCCCUUUUCAAAUCCCCAACAAACAACACUUCCUAUUUUCAUACACACAACUCCAGUCAUAAUUCAUCAACUUUUUCCUCAUCGGUUCCUUCUAAAACCAUAUCCUUCACUAAAUCUACCUCACCUUCCAAUACCAAUUUAUCCACUACUAGCCAUCCUAAAUCUAAUACUACCAUACCUCCAAUCAAGCGCCUCACUGCCUCUCAAAUGAAAUUCAGAAGGGACCAAGGCGUUUGUCACAACUGUGAUGAAAAGUACAAACCCGGUCAUACUUGUAAAACUCAACACUUAUACAUGUUAGUAGCAAAUGAAAAUUCUGAUACAAGUAGUUAUGAGGAUAUUCAAGUUGCUGCUGCGGAGGAAAUUGAAUUAGUAGAAUCUGAUAUGGAAAUCUCAGUCAAUGCAUUGACAGGCCAAGUAGGUACUCACACAAUUCGAAUUGUGGGCACUAUUAAAAACGUCAAAGUUACAAUUCUUAUUGAUUCGGGCAGUACCCAUAACUUCAUUGAUCAAGAGGUUGCUCGACAAAUUGGAUUGGUAGCUGAUCCUACAGCACAUAUGUUAGUUGGCAUUGCUAAUGGAGCUAAAACAGUCAGUCAAGGCAUUUGCAAUAAGUUAUCAUGGGAUAUGCAAGGUCAUUCUGUGAUAUGGUGGUUGGAGCUGACUGGCUUAAAACCUUGGGAGACAUUUUGUUCAAUUUUCAGAAACUUAUCAUGUCUUUUAAAUGGAAAGGCAAGAAAAUUACAUUAAGGGGGGAUACUGAAACUGCUUCUCUUAAAAUGAUGUCUGGGAAUGCUUUCAAGAGGUUGUUAAAGAAAAAUGCUCACGGAUUGAUGGGUAGCUUGUUCUCCAUUACUGCUACUACCAUAUCAGAAACUAUUCCACCACCUGUCAGUACAGUAUUGCAGGAAUUUCAAGACGUGUUUCAAGAACCAAAAGCUCUCCCACCUCUUAGAGCGUUGGAUCAUCAUAUCCCUCUUCAACCAUUGGCUGGUCCCACCAAUCAGAGGCCAUACCGAUAUCCUUACGUCCAGAAAGCUGUAAUUGAACAGUUGGUGCAAGAAAUGUUGUCUUCAGGAAUUAUUCAGCCCAGCCACAGUCCAUUUGCAUCACCUGUCAUAUUGGUUAAAAAAAAGGAUGGGUCAUGGAGGUUUUGUGUGGACUACAGGCAAUUGAAUGCCAUCACAGUAAAAGACAAGUUUCCUAUGCCGAUCAUCGAUGAGCUAUUAGAUGAGCUUCAUGGAGCCAAGGUAUUUUCUAAAAUUGAUCUUCGGUCUGGAUACCAUCAUAUACGAGUCCAAGAUGCAGAUAUUUAUAAGACAGCUUUUCGAACUCACCACGGCCAUUAUGAGUUUAAAGUCAUGCCCUUUGGUCUCACCAAUGCCCCUGCUACUUUUCAAGCCUUGAUGAACAACAUUUUUCAGCCUUUUUUAAGGAAGUCAGUACUUGUCUUUUUUGAUGACAUACUAGUUUAUAGUGCUAGUUUGAGUGAUCAUUUAGUGCAUCUCAAACAAACACUACAACUUCUUAGAGACCACACCCUCUUUGCUAAGCUUUCUAAAUGUUCUUUUGCUCAGCCUCAACUAGAGUAUUUGGGACAUCUCAUUUCAGGUUUAGGGGUAGCUGCAGAUCCCUCAAAUAUUGUAGCUAUGACUAAUUGGCCUAAACCCAAGAAUUUAAAAGGGUUGAGGGGUUUUCUAGGCCUCACAGGCUAUUACCGCCGAUUCGUCAAAGGGUAUGGUCAGAUAUGUCAACCUCUCACUGAUAUGUUAAAGAAAGACAACUUCAUUUGGACCCCUGCUGCAGAUAGAGCUUUUGAGCAACUCAAGAUAGCCAUGACUACAACUCCUGUCCUCACAUUACCAGAUUACACUCAACCCUUUAUUCUGGAAACUGAUGCAUGCGCACGGGGUGUGGGUGCAGUUUUGAUGCAAAGUGGGAGACCUAUAGCCUAUUUCAGUAAGGCUUUGGGUCCUAAAGCUUUGGGCUUCUCCACUUAUGAGAAAAAACUCCUCGCCAUAGUAUUGGCAGUCACUAAAUGGAGAUCCUACUUGUUGGGUCAUUUUUUCAUCAUCAACACUGAUCAACAAAGCAUUAAGUUUUUUAUGGAGCAGCGAUUAACUACAUUACUUCAACAAAGAUGGUUAACAAAACUUCUUGGCUUUGACUAUGUGAUAAAAUACAAGAAAGGUGCAGACAACAGGGUUGCUGAUGCCUUGUCUAGAGUUGUGGAUGAGGAAGGCAGCUGUCAGGUUCUGAGUGCAGUACAACCUAGCUGGACGCAAGAGGUAAUUGCUAGUUAUACCAAUGAUCCUCUCACUACCUAGUUAAUUUCUCAGUUGCUUAUUGCUGCAAAUAGUGUCAAAAAUUACUCUUACAUUAAUGGGCUUCUCCGAUAUAAGACACGAAUUUACAUUGGUAGUAACACCGAUUUGCGUUCCAAGCUUUUACACUCUAUUCAUAGUUCUACAAUAGGUGGUCAUUCAGGUAUUCAAGGGAGUUAUCAAAGAGCAAAAUUGUAUUUUGCAUGGCCAGGCCUCAAGAAGGAUGUUAUGCAGUUUGUGACUCAAUGUGACGUAUGUCAGAGAUCUAAGUCCGAACACAUCAGACCUGCUGGUCUCUUGCAGCCAUUGCCUAUUCCAGACCAUGCCUGGCAACACAUAGCUAUGGACUUCAUUGAAGGGUUGCCCAAGUCUGAAGGGAAAAAUGUCAUUCUAGUGGUGGUGGACAGACUUACUAAAUACAGACAUUUCAUUCCAUUAUCUCAUCCCUUCUCAGCUAUUCAGGUAGCAAAAAAAUUUCUUGAUAAUAUUUUUAAAUUACAUGGACUCUCUCUAUUGUGUCAGAUAGGGAUCAGAUUUUCGUCAGUGCUUCUUGGCAAGAACUAUUCAAAUGUCUGGGUACUAAGCUUCACCACAGUACCGCCUACCAUCCACAAACUGAUGGACAGUCUGAGCGCACAAAUUCUUGUUUGGAGCAAUAUCUCUGGUGCAUGACCAGUCAUCGACCCACCUCUUGGGCUAAAUGGAUAGCUUUGGCCGAAUGGUGGUUUAAUUCAAAUUACCACUCUAGUCUAAAUAUGUCACCUUUCAAGGCUCUCUAUGGCUACUCUCCCCCACAUUUGGCUUUUCCUUCUGACAUUACUUCAAAGGUAGCAGAGGUUUCUGAUUACUUGAAACACAGGGAGAUUCUCUUGGAUGUUGUGAAGGAUGGGCUACAUCAAGCACAAGAGAGAAUGAAGUGGUUUGCCGACAAUAAGAGGACUGACAGAAGCUUUCAGGCGGGAGACUGGGUCUAUCUCAGGUUGCAGCCAUAUCGUCAGACUUCUGUGGCUAUCAGACGCAACCUCAAGUUAUCAGCAAAAUUCUAUGGUCCAUUCCAAAUUAGUGCUAAGAUAGGUGGGGUGGCCUACAAGCUCUUAUUACCUGCUGGGUCCAAGAUUCAUCCUGUUUUCCACAUCUCUCAAUUGAUGCCAAAGCUAGGUACUUCUGUGACUCCUAUGCCUCAACUGCCCUUGCUAACUCCAGAAGGUGAAUUAGUGAUGGAACCUAAGGCAAUUCUAGAUCGUCGGAUCAUUCCAAGGAACAAUAAAGCUGUAACUCAAGUUCUGAUUCAAUGGUCUAACUCCCUUCCUGAAGACUCUACAUGGGAGGAUUGGUCCAACAUUCAUGCACACUUUCCACAGUUUAAUCCUUGAGGACAAGGAUAGUUUUAAGAGGGGUCAUGACUACAGAAUAGCUGUAGUAAUUAACAACUUCUGAGAGGGUAGUAAUGAUAUAAUGUAAUGUAAAAUGAGAGAGGAGAUGAGGACACGUGUGUGCAGAUCCGUAUUUCUAGGUUUCUGUUAGAAGAGAGAAAUGCUAUAAGCAUGAGUGAAUGUAAUAGCUUGAAACCCAAGUUUUAUGAAGAAAGAUAUUAGGCUCAGUUUCUUGGAAACUUGAGAAAAGUUCCUCAAAAGGUUAUUAAUCUUUCCAGUUUAUUUGUUAAUUUGAUCAUAAAGUAAGGUAAAUCCUUACACCUUUGCUUGUUACUUGUUUUACAAUGAUAAUCAAUAUUUACAUUCACAAGAAGGAAAUAAC
RNAcentral lists this long non-coding RNA (5511 nucleotides) under Aquilegia coerulea. RNAcentral's name for it is "long non-coding RNA (ACOE_LNC002101)". The record is from RNAcentral. Lineage: Eukaryota; Viridiplantae; Streptophyta; Magnoliopsida; Ranunculales; Ranunculaceae.